UACGUAGGGUGCAAGCGUUGUCCGGAAUUAUUGGGCGUAAAGAGCUCGUAGGCGGUUUGUUGCGUCGGCUGUGAAAACCCGAGGCUCAACCUCGGGCCUGCAGUCGAUACGGGCAAACUAGAGUACUGCAGGGGAGACUGGAAUUCCUGGUGUAGCGGUGAAAUGCGCAGAUAUCAGGAGGAACACCGAUGGCGAAGGCAGGUCUCUGGGCCAUUACUGACACUGAGAAGCGAAAGCAUGGGGAGCGAACAGG
This 253-nucleotide ribosomal RNA is filed under the name uncultured bacterium. Its description in RNAcentral is "partial 16S ribosomal RNA". It matches the Rfam family "Bacterial small subunit ribosomal RNA", at positions 524 to 776 of the family's 1533-position model. The record is from RNAcentral.